AAGAGAAAGAAACAUCGAUUCCCAAAGUAGCGGCGAGCGAAAUGGGAAGAGCCUAAACCGAAUCUCUACGGAGAGUCGGGGUUACGGACCUGCGGAAUCGAGAUUACUCAUAGUCGAAUAGCAUUGGAAAGUGCAGCCGGAGAGGGUAAAAGCCCCGUAGGCGAAAUGAGGAAUUGAGAGGCGGGAAUCCAGAGUACCACAGGACACGAGGAAUCCGGUGGGAAGUCGGGGGGACCACCCCCCAAGGCUAAAUACUACUUGGUGACCGAUAGCGUAUAGUACCGUGAGGGAAAGGUGAAAAGAACCCCGGGAGGGGAGUGAAAGAGAACCUGAAACCCUAUGUUUACAAGCAGUGGGAGCGCAAGCGACCAUGUACUUUUUGUAGAACGGGCCGGCGAGUUACUGUGUGUAGCGAGGUUAAGGUGUAGAGCACCGGAGCCGUAGCGAGAGCGAGUCUCAAAUGGGCGAAUAGUUGCAUACAGUAGACCCGAAACCGGGUGACCUAUCCAUGGACAGGAUGAAGCGGUGGUAAAGCACCGUGGAGGUCCGAACCACACGUAUGUUGAAAAAUGCGGGGAUGAGCUGUGGAUAGCGGAGAAAUUCCAAUCGAACUCGGAGAUAGCUGGUUCUCCCCGAAAUAGCUUUAGGGCUAGCCUCGAUUUAGAUUAUUGGGGGUAGAGCACUGAAUGGGCUAGGGGGCCACAAAGCUUACUGAACCCUAUCAAACUGCGAAUACCAAUUAAUUGAUGAUCGGGAGUCAGACAGUGAGAGAUAAGUUCCAUUGUCGAAAGGGAAACAGCCCAGAUCCACGACUAAGGUCCCAAAAUACACGUUAAGUGGAAAAGGAUGUGCAGUUGCACAGACAACCAGGAUGUUGGCUUAGAAGCAGCCACUCAUUCAAAGAGUGCGUAAUAGCUCACUGGUCGAGUGAAUGUGCGCCGAAAAUAUAACGGGGCUAAACGUGAUACCGAAGUCUGGGGAUCAAGAAAUUGAUCGGUAGGGGAGCAACGCAUACGGACAGAAGCAGAAGCGGGAGCGACUGUGGACUGUAUGGGAGAGAGAAUGCCGGCAUGAGUAGCGAGAGCAAAGUGAGAAUCUUUGCCGUCGAAAGCCUAAGGUUUCCUGAGGAAGGCUCGUCCUCUCAGGGUAAGUCGGGACCUAAGCCGAGGACAAGAGUCGUAGGCGAUGGACAACAGGUUGAUAUUCCUGUACCGUACUUAAGCGUUUGACUGAAGCAGUGACACAGAAGGAUAGACAGACCGAGUGAAUGGAAGAACUCGGCCAAGCAGUGAGGCUGACAUGUAGUGAAGUACGCAUGUUAAGGCUGGGCUGUGAUGGGGACUGAAAAUUAGUAGGGAAGCUGUUGAAUUCACACUGGCGAGAAAAGCUGCUAAGGAGCGAGAGUAUGCCCGUACCGCAAACCGACACAGGUAGGCGAGGAGAGAAUCCUAAGACGAGCGGGAGAACCCUUGUUAAGGAACUCGGCAAAAUGACUCCGUAACUUAGGGAGAAGGAGUGCCUCGAGAGAGGCCGCAGAGAAUAGGCCCAAGCGACUGUUUACCAAAAACACAGGUCUGUGCGAAGUAGAGAUACGACGUAUACGGGCUGACGCCUGCCCAGUGCCGGAAGGUUAAGGGGAAGUGUUAGGGCAACCGAAGCACGGAACUUAAGCCCCGGUGAACGGCGGCCGUAACUAUAACGGUCCUAAGGUAGCGAAAUUCCUUGUCGGGUAAGUUCCGACCCGCACGAAUGGCGUAACGACUUGGGCACUGUCUCAACAAGGGACCCGGCGAAAUUGUAGUAUGUGUGAAGAUGCACAUUACCCGCGAUAGGACGGAAAGACCCCGUAGAGCUUUACUGUAGUUUAACAUUGGAUUUUGAUAACACAUGUACAGGAUAGGUGGGAGGCUGAGAAACCGGCACGCCAGUGCCGAUGGAGCCGCUGUUGGGAUACCACUCUUGUGUUAUUGGAGUUCUAACGAAGUGCCGUAAACCGGGCUUCGGACAGUGUUAGAUGGGCAGUUUGACUGGGGCGGUCGCCUCCGAAAGAGUAACGGAGGCGCCCAAAGGUUCCCUCAGCGCGGCCGGAAAUCGCGCGAA
RNAcentral lists this ribosomal RNA (2100 nucleotides) under human gut metagenome. RNAcentral describes it as "bacterial LSU rRNA". It matches the Rfam family "Bacterial large subunit ribosomal RNA", at positions 216 to 2346 of the family's 2925-position model. The record is from RNAcentral.